This 1558-nucleotide long non-coding RNA is filed under the name Homo sapiens (human). Its description in RNAcentral is "HSALNT0036974". The record is from RNAcentral. Lineage: Eukaryota; Metazoa; Chordata; Mammalia; Primates; Hominidae.
CCAGUGGCUCAAUAAAUUUGGAGAAAACAGAAACAAUUAAGUUCUCACUUCAGAUUCAUACUUUUUAAAUUUUCUUUUAUAUUUUCAAAUUUAUGGUCUUAAUGCAGGCUAGGUAUUGCAUUUUGACAAUGGAAUCUGAAACAGCUACAACUCUAGAUUUUGUAAAUUCUUCUUCACCAUAGCAGUGGCUUAGUUUUAACUGUGAUUACUGUCUCAUUGGUCAAACUGUUUUGACAGAAAGGACAUUUUAUUGAGAGGUUAGUCCCCAAAAGACAUGCUUUGGAGAUCUUUUUCAAAUGUUCAAAUUAUGGAUGGCUUAGUUUAUACUCUUUACCCCAAAAUGAAAAUUCUGGCAUUCUCAUUAGCCUUCUCACAAAGCAAGUCUUUAAAGCUUCCCCAACACAUGUGAAAACCGAAUUUUAUGAGGAUUCAAGACCAGCCAGGAGACUUUAGUAAAGACUAGAUUUCAGAACAGCAGAUCUUUAGUUGUGCAAAGGACAUUGCUAAACUUCUGGGUUGGAAGGUAUCCUGAUAUACCUAAUUCUAUUUAUGAAACUGCAUAUGUGCUUUGAAACUCUGUUUAGAUCCAGCUCUUUCAGUUAGAGAUGGAAACCAUAUGUGUGUCUAAGGCCCUUAUGUUUUGCCUUGGAGAGUCUUAGAUUUUGUUUUGAUUUCAAACUUGGCAUCAUUUUCAGAUUUGGAGGCAUCCUGGGUAUGUCCUUGACCCUCUGUGUCAUGCAGAUACAUUUUUGUUAUCCAUUAUUACUCUUCUUAGAUGAGUCUCAGGGCCAUAUGCUUAGAAAGGUGUUGUGCCUUUCAUUCUCAGAAAAGUUAUUCUAAGUAAAACAGAGAUCCAAAGAAAAUAUGUGGAACAUUCAGGCUCACAAUCUUGUACAUAGUAAAAUAGUUUUUUGUUUAUUGUUUAUUUGAAUUAAUCAGGUCUGCUUUUCCCCUUUAUUCCUCAUUUCUUUUGUGGGAAGUGGACUAAAGCUUCUGCUGCACCACGAACCCAAGAAUUGUAGACAUAUCCCAGUGGCCAGAUGGCUGACUACCCACCGAAUCUAUCUUCCCAUUCUCUCAAGGUAAUGAGCUAGCUGUAGCCCAAUAUGUGACCUCUCAGUUGGCGGCUAUGUUUCAAGAGCCACUUGCAGGUGUGUGUCUGAGUUCCUUCCAGUGGAAUGUGAGCAGAAGGGACAGGAGACAUUUCUAGGCCCUGGGUCUGACACACAGCCUUCCCUGUGGUUGGUGCUGAACUACAGAGUAGCCGAAGACCAACUGGCUUUGAGCAUACAGGUGCAGGACUACUAUAUGAGAGAUGAAAAACCUUUGUCCUUAAAAUGAACUUUUUCCCUAAAAUCGCAUGUAGACCUUGGGGCUCAUGCAUAAGAAUUAAAGAGAAAGAGGAAAAUAAAUCUCUUUUUGUUUCCUUGCAUAGAACUGAGACAUGGAGGAGUUUGGUGUCUUAGUAAGUAGUUGGCUUUGGCUGAAAUGAGUGUAUGCGGGUGUGUGUGUGUGUGUGUGAGAGAGAGAGAGAGAGAGAGAGUGUGUGUGUGUGUGU